This 859-nucleotide long non-coding RNA is filed under the name Marmota monax (woodchuck). Lineage: Eukaryota; Metazoa; Chordata; Mammalia; Rodentia; Sciuridae. The record is from RNAcentral.
AAAAAGGUAUUUCUGUCUCUUGUGUGAUUAUUCUGUACAGCCCACUUCACCUGGAAUAACCCUCAGUGUUUUAGUCAUGAGAAACCCGACAAUUUGUGGCCCAUACAGAGUGACUCAGGAUGACUUUUAGAAAUUUAGUGGGUUUGAAAUUUUUCUUCAGAAGUUAAGCAUGCUUAGGAUUGCAGAGUAUUGUGGGCUGAAUUGUAGAAAGUAAGUGAAUUAGACAGAAGAGAAAUCUAUGAUGCUAAACUUUUUAAUAUUUGGGAAUAGUUUGUCUUUAGAAAGAAAAAUAUAUUUUUAUAAUUCUAGGGAAUUAUAAAAUAAUGUAAAGAAUUAUUAAGAUGAUUAGUGGGAUAUGCUGUUAAGUUUGGUCCUCUUCCCAUGGGAAAAGUGCUUUUGUGGACUUUUUUGAAUUGUUUUGUGAAUCUUUAUAUUUUGAAAUAUUAGGUAAAGAUUUUUGGGGUUUAUAUACUAGAAGUCUGUGCUUGGAGAGUGAGAAAAAGAGAAGGAAAAUUUUGUGAUGAGACUUAAUAAAAGGAUUCUUUACCUGUAGAGGAGUGAAUUUUAUUUUCCUAUUGUUUUUGUGAAUACUCAGAACGCUUAUACUGAACUCUUUGCUACAUUCUUGUCCUACUGGAUCAGAAUAGCUGGAACUCAGCUGCUGCAGACACAAGACUUGAGCCACUUUCCCCGAUAGUGUCUGUAACUAGACCCACCACCAGCAGUGCUUUUAACCCUUAAGCAACCUGGCCUGGGUGCCAAACGCAGACUGCCUUAAAAUCUGAUAGUAACACUGGUGUCUGCCAUUAAAACUCACUUUUAAAGUCUCACAUGCUACAAGGGAAAGUACAAAAUACAG